CUCUGAGGGAAACUAAAAUUAAGAAUAUUAUUAAUACUAUAUUAUUAAUCAUUAAUAUUAUGGGAUUGUUAAUCCUAUUAAGAAUAGAAGGAGAAUUCCCUUGUUGUUGAGGCAAGAACUUCAGACUCUGGCUCAUGUUCUCCUCAGUGAGGACAGGAAAUCCUGCCUGAGAAUGUGUGGUAAUUGGCACUCCUGGAAGGAAGAAGAUAAGAGGAAACUCUCCCAUUGAAACAUGAGGCUUCCUUGUCGAGACCUUGCCUUUGAAUCCUGAAUCAUGGUGGCCACAGUCAUCAGGAUGGCCACCCCGCUGGAUUGCCCCAAGUUUGAGUGACCGUUUAUAAGGUACGAGGAAUUACAGGUGAGAAUUCUCUAGGGAGACCCGCACCCUGCUUUCUCUGGAGAGGAGGGGGCUGGCCCUGGAGCUCCCUGCCCAGUUCUGUCUGUGGAAAUGCAGCUGCCAGGAAUCCUGGUUCCAGCUUGGGACAUUAGCUAAUGAACUAAACCAUGACUUUGGUAAAGGCCUCCUUAACUACGACUAACUAGUCUACAGCAGCAACCUGGGGGUGGGACAUCUCUCCUCAAGUCUCUUCCGAAAUCCAUUUCUUCAUCCACUCAGCUGCCAAAGUCGAUGUUCCUAAAGCCCAAAUAUGGCCAUGCUAUGCACCCAUGUAGAUAUAAACUCCAGUGGCUCCCAAUCACCUCCAGGAUCUUUGGGCCCUUAAAGCCCUUUAUUAUCUGGCCAUUUUUACCCUCCCUGUCUUCCUCUAGGUCAGUCCCCUCUCGGAUCCAGCUCCACCGGCUUGUUGCUGUUCUUCACACAAGACAUUCCACCUCCUGAUUGUGGAGAAUGUGCAAUGGUGUCUUCCCAGGCUUAGGACGCUCUUCCCUACUCACCUUUGACUCUUGGCUUUCUUUGGCUUUCUUUAAGACUCAGCUCUAAGUGUUUCUAGUGUUUCUAUUGAGCUUUAAUCCCAAAGAGAUCUUAAAAAAGGGAAAAGGACCCGUAUGUGCCAAAAUGUUUGUGGCAGCCCUAUUUGUAGUGGCUAGAAACUGGAAACUGAGUGGAUUCCCAUCAAUUGGAGAAUGGCUGAAUAAACUGUGGUAUAUGAACAUCAUGGAAUAUUAUUGUUCUGUAAGAAAUGACCAACAGGAUGAUUUCAGAAAGGCCUGGAGAGACUUACAUGAACUGAUGCUGAGUGAAAUGAGCAGGACCAGGAGAUCAUUAUAUACUUCAACAACAAUACUAUAUGAUGAUCAAUUCUGAUGGAUAUGACCCUUUUCAACAAUUAGAUGACUAAGACCAGUUCCAUGAUCUUGUGAUGAAGAGAGCCAUCUGCACUCAGAGAGAGGACUGUGGGAACUGAAUGUAGAUCACAACAUAGCAUUUUCACUCUUUUUGUUGUUUGCUUGCAUUUUGUUUUCUCUCUCUCUUUUUUUUUUUUUUUGAUCUGAUUUUUCUUGUGCAGCAAGAUAAUUGUAUAAAUAUGUUUACAUAUAUUGGAGUUGACAUCUAUUUUAACAUGUUUAACAUAUACUGGAUUACUUGACAUUUGGGGAGGGGGUGGGGGAAAGGAAGGGAAAAUUUGGAAGACAAGGUCUUGUAAGUAAGG
Sarcophilus harrisii (Tasmanian devil) is the source of this 1610-nucleotide long non-coding RNA. NCBI's taxonomy places the organism in Eukaryota, Metazoa, Chordata, Mammalia, Dasyuromorphia, Dasyuridae. The record is from Ensembl.